Molecule: long non-coding RNA, 2421 nt
Organism: Quercus robur (English oak)
Lineage: Eukaryota; Viridiplantae; Streptophyta; Magnoliopsida; Fagales; Fagaceae
Exons: 3
Source: RefSeq, a predicted model, not a curated record
AUUUUUUUCAUGCGUUUUUGAGACUUGUUGCUACUGUUCAUGCACUGUUCAAUGAACAGUAACCGCAAAGUUUGACUUUUCUAACUUUUUUUAGCCAAUCAGUGCACAUCGUGUAUUGUUUACAGAUCCACAAAUUUCACUUUUCAACAACUUUUUCAUUAAAAAUGGGUCCCACGGUACUAUUCACACAUUUAAAAAUUAUUUUGUUACAGUAUUUUUCAGUUUUCAGUUUCAGUUUUAUCCUAUGCGGUUGCGUUUGGUUGAAAUAUGGUGGGUCCCGUAUACUAUUCACGAGAUCCGCAAGUACAUUUUUCACCAAAAAUAACUUCAAAAAUGAGUUCCACGGUACUAUUCACACAUUUAAAAAUUAUUUUGCUACAUUUAAAAAUGGUGUGCAUUCGGCUUCAAAUUAAAAAGUCAGCUUAUUUUAUUAUUCAACUUAUUUUUGCUACUAUUUAUGAGCCCCAUUACAUUUUUUGUUAUUAUUCAUAGGUCUCACUUUACUAUUUCAACUAACUUUUAUAUUUAUUUACAGUACUUUCAGUAAAAAGUUUUCAGUUCCAGCAAAAUAAACGGAUCUCAAACAGAUCCUUGGUGUGUGUUUGGCUCCAAAUUAAAAAGCCAGUUUAUUUUACUAUUCAGCUUAUUUUUGCUACUAUUUAUGGGCCCCACUACACUUUUUUCGUACUAUUUAUGAGUCCCACUAUAUUAUUUCAGCUAACUUUUACUUUUAUUUACAGUAAUUUCAGUAAAAAGUUUUUAAUUUCAGCAAAAUAAGCGAAUCACAAACAGGCUCAAGAGUCUGUUUUAUGGGUUUUGCAAGUUGGAAUUUUGUUGAUUUUUUUUUUUGGUUGUAAAUUUGUGUGUUAGUGUGUUCAAAUCGAAAGAAAAAUAGAAGGCCAAACCCACUUCAAUAAUGGCUGUGAUGUUUGUUUAUUAUAGUGGAUAUAUUAUUUUAUUGUAGUAGAUAUAUUAUUUUAUUAUGUUGAAAGUUAAAAUAAAACCACUGAUAUUAGGUGUUUUGUAAAGUGAGAAAGUAAAAUAGAUAAAGUAGCUUUUUAUGGUGCCAAAUAACUAAAUUUAUGGCUCCACCAAUGUGAACGCUCUUAAACAAAAUUUCAUUGUAGCUUAAUAUUUCACAAUUUCAUCUUUAAUAUCAUUUUUAUGCUUUGCUGGUGCAGAUUAUCUUUAGAGGGUGGUAUAGAAUUUUCUGGUAAUAAUGCUCUAAUUUAAAGAAUUUGAGAAUACUCCCACAAUUACUGGUUUUGUUCUUACACUGUCCUAGAAUUAUCACUUGAAUGACCAUACAUUUGAAAUAGUAUUUUGCUUAAUUCUAUAUGGUAAGCUGAGGCCAGUGAUGAUCUAAAACAAUUUUGCCUACAUCGGAUGAUUAUCUGUUAUAAGAUAAUGAUAUCUUUGGAAUAUUUGAGGCCUUUCUAUGAUGUUGUAUUUCUUCAAGUCAAUUGAAAAAGGAAAAAAAAAAAAAAAAAUUCGUGUUCUAGACUUUUAAGGGUUUGUUGUUUAUUAAUUGUUACCACUGUCUCAUGUUUUGUGGAAGUUGCUUUUAAAGUUUAUAAUGUCAUAUUUUCCUCUUGGCUCUUGGUACUAAACUCAGAAUGUAUUUUCAACAGAUAUUUUGGCCAUUUCUUUUUCAUUUUUAUAAAGUUAUUAGUUUUUUUUGCUUAUCCAAAAAAAUUGAUCACAAGCUUAUGAUGAGGAUAAUUUUUUACUGAUCGGUAUAGGGGUGCCAGAAAGGGAUGACCGACCCGUGGGCCAACGGCUUAAGCAAUCCCUUGAUCCUGACGACCCAUCCCCAUAAGGUUUCCAUGGGGUUUGCGUGGGGCCCACUCACACAUUCUUACGUGAAAAUUACUUGCACAUUCGACCAAAGGCCCUACCACACAAUCAGAUUUCUUAUAUAUGGAAAGGUGAUCCCAAGUGCUUUGGGACUAUUCUCUCUACAAGGAAAUUCCCUCGUAUCAAGGGAUUUAAGUCAACUCUCUACUACUAUAUAAACCACAAACCUUACCCUUCUUGAGGUACAUCCAUUGGCACGUGUGUGAACGAUCAACUCACUGACGAUUUUUGUGCAUCAUUAGCCUAUAAAGAAAAAGAUCGGAGUCGAUGGAAGGAGCAAAAGAAAAAGAAGACGAAGAGAAAGAAGAAGAAGAGUCGGCAUCGGAGGAGGCUCUGGAUCGCCUUGAUCUGGAGUUGAGCUUGGGCUUUACACCGUACGGUCACGGCAGGUUUAUAGGAUACGACACCGCCAAUACUUUGAUCAUACUCUCUCAAACAAAAAGUACUAUCUCUCUGUGUUCAGUUCAAUUUUGGUAGUGGAGUUCAGGAGUGUAGUGGAAUUUUUGAAACAGCGGCUGCCAUUUGUACUUCAACUUCAAAGUAUUCAACUUCUCACUUCUCACU